AAAACAUCGCCUCCUGCAACACAACCAAGUAUAGGAGGUCCAGCCUGCCCAGUGACUACAAGUUCAACGGCCGCGGUAUUUUGACCGUGCAAAGGUAGCGCAAUCACUUGUCUUUUAAAUAGAGACCUGUAUGAAUGGCCAAACGAGGGCUUAACUGUCUCCCCUUUCAAGUCAGUGAAAUUGAUCUACCCGUGCAGAAGCGGGUAUAAUUAUACAAGACGAGAAGACCCUUUGGAGCUUAAGGUACAAAACUCAACCACGUCGAGCAACUCAAUAAAAAGCAAAAACUUUGUGGAACAUGAAAUUUUACCUUCGGUUGGGGCGACCACGGAGGAAAAAUAAGCCUCCAAGUGGACUGGGAAAAUCCUCCUAAAACUAAGAGAGACAUCUCUAAGCCACAGAACAUCUGACCAAAUAUGAUCCGGCUGACAUAAGCCGAUCAACGAACUAAGUUACCCUAGGGAUAACAGCGCAAUCCUCUCCCAGAGUCCAUAUCGACGAGAGGGUUUACGACCUCGAUGUUGGAUCAGGACAUCCUAAUGGUGCAGCCGCUAUUAAGGGUUCGUUUGUUCAACGAUUAAAGUCCUACGUGA
Molecule: ribosomal RNA, 593 nt
Filed under: Luciocyprinus striolatus
Lineage: Eukaryota; Metazoa; Chordata; Actinopteri; Cypriniformes; Cyprinidae
Description: partial 16S ribosomal RNA
Rfam family: Bacterial large subunit ribosomal RNA
Source: RNAcentral